Molecule: non-coding RNA, 45 nt
Organism: Parastrongyloides trichosuri
Lineage: Eukaryota; Metazoa; Nematoda; Chromadorea; Rhabditida; Strongyloididae
Source: Rfam
CCAACGGCCCUCUUUAGGGCCCCCAAUAUAUAUGAUCUCUAUUCA